AUUGAACGCUGGCGGCAUGCCUUACACAUGCAAGUCGAACGGCAGCACGGGAGCAAUCCUGGUGGCGAGUGGCGAACGGGUGAGUAAUGUAUCGGAACGUACCUUUCAGUGGGGAGUAACGUAGCGAAAGUUAACGCUAAUAACCGCAUAUUCUGUGAGCAGGAAAGACAGGGAGUCGCAAGAACCUUGCGCUGAUUGAGCGGCCGAUAUCAGAUUAGCUAGUUGGUGAGGUAAAGGACUCACCAAGGCGACGAUCUGUAGCGGGUCUGAGAGGAUGAUCCGCCACACUGGAACUGAGACACGGUCCAGAUCCUACGGGAGGCAGCAGU
RNAcentral lists this ribosomal RNA (329 nucleotides) under uncultured bacterium. RNAcentral's name for it is "bacterial SSU rRNA". It matches the Rfam family "Bacterial small subunit ribosomal RNA", at positions 30 to 355 of the family's 1533-position model. The record is from RNAcentral.